AAGGAGAAUGUCUUCAUCACGGAACUAAUAACUCCGUUAGUAAAAAAAAAUCUUUGACUUUGAGACUUAUUCUUUAAGAUUAGUAUUAAAAAAAAUAUGGUAUACUAUGAAGGCCGUCCUAUAUAAUAUUCUAUAGUCCCCACCCCAUAUGAUUUUUGUUCCUAAUUCUAGAAGUAAGUUUCAUGAAAUGAAUCACAUCUUGCUUCGGAACGCACCAACAUGGAAUCAUGUUAGGAAAAUACCGUUGCAUUGAGAUGAUCCUUUAUAAGAUUUGGCCAUCUCUUUUGUGUAAAUAGAGCAACGGAAAGAGAAAGCAAA
This 318-nucleotide long non-coding RNA is filed under the name Elaeis guineensis (African oil palm). Its description in RNAcentral is "long non-coding RNA (EGUI_LNC030046)". The record is from RNAcentral. Lineage: Eukaryota; Viridiplantae; Streptophyta; Magnoliopsida; Arecales; Arecaceae.